UCUCCCUUAGAGAUAAGGUGAGAAGCUCAGUCAUCCGGGAGGGGCUCAGAGUCGAGCCGCUUCUCCUCCACAUCGAGAGGAGCCAGAUGAGGUGGCUUGGGCAUCUGAUUCGGAUGCCUCCUGAACGCCUCCCUGAUGAGGUGUUCCGGGCAUGUCCCACCGGGAGGAGACCCCGAGGAAGACCCAGGACACGCUGGAGAGACUAUGUCACCCAGCUGGCCUGGGAACGCCUCGGGAUCCCCCGGGGAGAGCUGGAAGAAGUAGCUAGGGAGAGGGAAGUCUGGGCUUCCCUGCUAAAGCUGUUGCCCCCGCGACCCGGCCCCGGAUAAGCGGUAGAUGAUGGAUGGAUGGAUGGAUGGAUGGAUGGAUGGAGACUGGAGUUAGCGCGAGUCGCUAGCCGUCAAAAGUAGCGCUGAAGUUGCAACCAGGCGGACACAUACCAGGUCA
This is a long non-coding RNA of Hippocampus zosterae (dwarf seahorse), 447 nucleotides long. RefSeq lists it as uncharacterized. The record is from RefSeq and is a predicted model, not a curated record. The transcript has 3 exons. Lineage: Eukaryota; Metazoa; Chordata; Actinopteri; Syngnathiformes; Syngnathidae.